Molecule: ribosomal RNA, 632 nt
Filed under: uncultured bacterium
Lineage: Bacteria
Description: bacterial SSU rRNA
Rfam family: Bacterial small subunit ribosomal RNA (bases 1-552)
Source: RNAcentral
CCUACGGGAGGCAGCAGUGGGGAAUCUUGCGCAAUGGACGAAAGUCUGACGCAGCCACGCCGCGUGAGUGAAGAAGGCCUUCGGGUUGUAAAGCUCUGUCGGAGGGGACAAAAACGUUUAGGGUUAAUAGCCCUAGAUCUUGAUGGUACCCUCAAAGGAAGCACCGGCUAACUUCGUGCCAGCAGCCGCGGUAAUACGAAGGGUGCAAGCGUUGCUCGGAAUUAUUGGGCGUAAAGGGUAGGUAGGUGGUUACGUAUGUCUGAGGUGAAAGCCCCGAGCUUAACUUGGGAAGUGCCUUGGAAACGGCGUAACUAGAGUAUUGGAGAGGUUUGUAGAAUUCCCGGUGUAGCGGUGAAAUGCGUAGAGAUCGGGAGGAAUAUCAGAGGCGAAGGCGACAAACUGGACAAUUACUGACACUAAACUACGAAAGCGUGGGGAGCAAACAGGAUUAGAUACCCUGGUAGUCCACGCUGUAAACGAUGGGUACUAGAGGUUCGGGGUAGUUCGACCCCGUCGGACUCGGACGACGUACGACGACGUAACGUACCCGUCCGUACGGUACGGUACGGUCGCGACGACUAAACUACAACGAAGUAGACGCGUGAGACGCGCGACGACGACGACGAGGAGAG